AAUAUUGGGCAAUGGGGGAAACCCUGACCCAGCAACGCCGCGUGAAGGAGGAAGGNUUNNGGGUUNUNAACUCCUUUUAAGAGNNNNNAACACAAUGACGGUACCUCUUGAAUAAGCCACGGCUAACUACGUGCCAGCAGCCGCGGUAAUACGUAGGUGGCGAGCGUUAUCCGGAUUUACUGGGUGUAAAGGGCGCGUAGGCGGGUCUGCAAGUCAGAUGUGAAAUACCGGGGCUUAACCCCGGGGCUGCAUUUGAAACUGCAGGUCUUGAGUGAUGGAGAGGCAAGCGGAAUUCCUAGUGUAGCGGUGAAAUGCGUAGAUAUUAGGAGGAACACCAGUGGCGAAGGCGGCUUGCUGGACAUUAACUGACGCUGAGGCGCGAAAGCGUGGGGAGCAAACAGG
RNAcentral lists this ribosomal RNA (402 nucleotides) under uncultured bacterium. RNAcentral's name for it is "partial 16S ribosomal RNA". It matches the Rfam family "Bacterial small subunit ribosomal RNA", at positions 360 to 776 of the family's 1533-position model. The record is from RNAcentral.